RNAcentral lists this ribosomal RNA (321 nucleotides) under Triticum aestivum (bread wheat). RNAcentral describes it as "partial small subunit ribosomal RNA". The record is from RNAcentral. Lineage: Eukaryota; Viridiplantae; Streptophyta; Magnoliopsida; Poales; Poaceae.
AUGAAAGGACAAUACCAAGGUGUUCGGAGUCGCUUCCUUAAAGAAAACCCCAAAGCAUUGUAUAUGCCAUGUGCAUGUCAUAGUUUGAAUCUCACUCUUUGUGAUAUGGCAAAAUCUUGCAAACAGUGGAAGAUUUUACUUGACUAUCUUCCAAAAGGAACAAAACUAACUCUCGAGCCUUUGUCAUGUACUCGUUGGGAGAGUCGAAUAAAGAGUGUGCAGCCUAUCAGGUACCAAACUAUCCAUGUAAUUUCAGCUUUGAAGGAAUUUGAGGAGACUUCUUGUGAUGCCCGGAUAAUCAAGCUACAGAGAAUGAUGUGA